RNAcentral lists this transfer RNA (58 nucleotides) under Thelazia callipaeda (thelaziosis nematode). RNAcentral's name for it is "tRNA-Lys". Lineage: Eukaryota; Metazoa; Nematoda; Chromadorea; Rhabditida; Thelaziidae. The record is from RNAcentral.
GAGGAAUUAUUUUAAGUUUUGAAAUUUUGGCUCUUUAUCCAGAAGUUUUGUUUCUCAG